AACACAUGCAAGUCGAACGGGAAUUACUUUAUUGAAACUUCGGUCGAUUUAAUUUAAUUCUAGUGGCGGACGGGUGAGUAACGCGUGGGUAACCUGCCUUAUACAGGGGGAUAACAGUCAGAAAUGGCUGCUAAUACCGCAUAAGCGCACAGAGCUGCAUGGCUCAGUGUGAAAAACUCCGGUGGUAUAAGAUGGACCCGCGUUGGAUUAGCUGGUUGGUGGGGUAACGGCCCACCAAGGCGACGAUCCAUAGCCGGCCUGAGAGGGUGAACGGCCACAUUGGGACUGAGACACGGCCCAGACUCCUACGGGAGGCAGCAGUGGGGAAUAUUGCACAAUGGGGGAAACCCUGAUGCAGCGACGCCGCGUGAAGGAAGAAGUAUCUCGGUAUGUAAACUUCUAUCAGCAGGGAAGAUAGUGACGGUACCUGACUAAGAAGCCCCGGCUAACUACGUGCCAGCAGCCGCGGUAAUACGUAGGGGGCAAGCGUUAUCCGGAUUUACUGGGUGUAAAGGGAGCGUAGACGGUGUGGCAAGUCUGAUGU
RNAcentral lists this ribosomal RNA (544 nucleotides) under uncultured Lachnospiraceae bacterium. Its description in RNAcentral is "bacterial SSU rRNA". It matches the Rfam family "Bacterial small subunit ribosomal RNA", at positions 50 to 595 of the family's 1533-position model. The record is from RNAcentral. Lineage: Bacteria; Bacillati; Bacillota; Clostridia; Lachnospirales; Lachnospiraceae.